RNAcentral lists this non-coding RNA (794 nucleotides) under Pongo abelii (Sumatran orangutan). The record is from RNAcentral. Lineage: Eukaryota; Metazoa; Chordata; Mammalia; Primates; Hominidae.
GCGAGCCCAGCUGGGGUGGUAAAUAGAGUACAGUACAUCACCAUGUAACAAAUGCAGACAUCUCUGAGAUCACCAUGCAGUGAGGAAGUCCAAGAUGGUGGCAGGAAGAGGCCACAUGGAAAGGGCUAAAAAAGGGGCCAGCCUCAGUCAUCCCGGCUGAGCACCUGGCUGGGAAUAAAAGAGGACUCCGUGGAUGUCCAGCCCAGUAAGAUGACCUCAGCCCCAGCCACCAACUGACCACGCACACAAGACAUAGUGAGGCUGCCUGCUGGAGCCUGGCCAGUGGGACUGUAGAGUAACUCAUUGUCGUGCAGGAACUCCUGGGAUGGUGUUGCCCAGUGACACAAUCCCAGUGUGGCCAUUUCUGAUCCUGAGAAAGCAGUCAGGAGUGGGUGGAUGCAGUUACAGUUCAUCAAGUCCUGCUAGUUCAAGUCAUGAGUCCUGAAUUCUCCAGGAGGAGCCACUAAAGAAAUGCAAAAGCAGGCAAUCCUUGCAAUAAAGCCAGCAAACUGCCAGUGUGAAGGAUGCCCAGGUAACCCGCCCACGCCAGAAUGGCCAGGAGAUGGUGGAACCAGAAUCUAAGCCCACGCCCAUCUGACUUCAAAGUCUGUGCUCCUGAUGUUUGCACCGAGUCACCUCCUAAGACUUGCUGCAACUGGAUCACGUCCAUUUACCUAUCUCUGAGAGAAAUGCAAGCUUUAAAAAAGGAAAUAUUUACUAUGGAUAUUUUACAAUAGUUCCAAAACAUGAAAGCUUUAAAUGAGAUAUUCUUAACCAUCCUCACCACAUCUUCA